Leguminivora glycinivorella is the source of this 2222-nucleotide long non-coding RNA. RefSeq lists it as uncharacterized. NCBI's taxonomy places the organism in Eukaryota, Metazoa, Arthropoda, Insecta, Lepidoptera, Tortricidae. The record is from RefSeq and is a predicted model, not a curated record. The transcript is spliced from 2 exons.
UCCGAAUCAGUCAUUAGACUCAUUAGACUUUUAGUAGCAUUUUUUGUUUAACGUUUGUCGAACAAUCAUUUUGCCUAGGCUCUAGUUACGGUCACUGCGCGGAAAACGUCCUCAGGAAAACUCGCACCGCAUCCAUCCGUCAACAGAUGGCGCUCCAUUCGCUCGGCUCAUAUAAGCGAGCGCGCGCGCACCGCCGCACUGCCCGCCCGACUCCCGCGCCACCAACGCGUACCGCGAGUGAAGUGAUAUGGAUAUUCUCACCUUGGACCCAACUGGACUUUAUUAAAAAAAAAUAAAAAAAUGGCUGUCCUCGAUCCUACCGGCCAGUACUAAACAUGAUCCUUGACCCAACAGGACAAUAUUAGAGCAUCAUGAUCGGGCUAGACCCCACAGAAAUUUACUAAUCCCCCCAAAAUGUGCUGCGGGCGGCGGAGGAUUUGGACGGGAUCCAGUCCGGAAGAAACAUCGUCGUGCAGAAAAAGAAGGUUUCGGCACUAGGGCCGGAAAUUCCGUAACACCUGAAGGAAUGCAAUGUAGAUUCCCCGUCUGCAAGCCGCUCUGUAUCCAAUACUCACUACGUUUAUAUUACGACUGAUAUACUAUAGUGCACAUAUCCUUCAAGCAUUUUGUAUUAUUAUAUAAAUUAUUGUAGAUAUAUACGAUAUAGAAACUGAUAGGAAUAUAACUUUAAAAUGUUAAUUAUAAUAUUACCUGAUACGUAAAAUUUUCAUUAUGUUUAUUUGUUAAUAAUACAUUUUUUCAUCAAAAACAAUUUUUUUUUUCAUGAAUAAUAUGAAUAUCAUUUCUGUUUUCACUCUACAUAUCAUUACAAAAAUAAAACAUAUUUUUUUUUCUAGAAUUUAAACAUAAUCUCAGUAACAUGUAACUAGAUUAAGAAAGAUUCAAGACAAGCAAAAAGAGGCAAAAAGGUUAUUUUUGAUAGGUUAUCUUCGCCCAUUUGUACAUUAUUCGAGAGACCUUCAAAAACCCGUUUUUAUGUACAGAUUAGUUUUAGUUGUAGUUUUACUAGAUUUCCACUCAAAUGUAUACGUUGUCCUGCAUGAUUCGAGUUACCAUUUUUUUCCCGCUUAUAUGUAAAUAACGCUUUAAAUCACUAGUGCUUGAAAUAAGCACGUAUCCUGCUCAAAAAGUACCAAUUUUGAAGAUACCCUCAUUUUAAGAUUAAAAAGAUUUGAGAUUGCUACGAUAUUUUUUUCAUUCGAAAUUAGUACUUUGCCAAGAGCUUGACAUGAAUUUAACAAGACGUUCUUAGUUUAAAUUGUAUUUCAAUAUUAAUAACUAUUUUUAGCUAUAACCCCUAUUAUUUGAUGAUGUAGGUAACAUUUUGCGACUGAAAAUGGUAGUUAAUAAGUUAUAACCAAUUGUUAUCUACGACUAACAAUAGAACAUAGAACGUUUUAUUUCCAUCAAUAAAUUGAAAACCCUUACAACGUCUAUCAUUAAUAGAAAGUAGGGAUAGUGAGCUUACUAUGCUUUUAUUAAUUUAUCUUUAUAUUGUAGAUAAUUAAGAUAAGACUGCUUAAAGUUAAUUUGUCUUCUAAGACUGAUGUGAAUUUGCGGGACCAUUUUUGACGCUAUCGAGAUUCUGCUGUGUUACUCUGUUAGAUUAAUUACUCUGUGGUAUUCAGGACAUUCAUACAACGGAAGAGUUUUUUUUUUUUUUUCACUGAAAAGACUUAAAAUUCGCUUAAAAAGUAGAUUACAUUGAUUUCAAGCAUUUUUGAUAACAUACUUUAAAAAAGAAAUGGAAGAUAUUAGAUAAAUCUCGAUAGUUUUCAGAAAUUGGUUCCAUUGUGCUCAAGGGGAGUAGCAAUAAGGCUGAUAUGUCAAUGUCAAUGCAGUUAUAAUAAUCUGAUCAGAUAUUAUUGAACACAUCACCCGCUCCGAUUACAUAGACUAUAAGAUACCUCAGCCAUAUUGCUUUACAGCCUGAUUCGGAAAUUAAAAUACGUCACUAAUAAGCUUUAAAUGCGAUGGUCAAUGUCAAUAGUGAAGAUUUUGACAACGAAAUAUCCUUAUCGUAUUUAGAGCUAAUUUGUGUGGAAUACAAAAUUCGAAUAAGGCUGUUCGUAUGUCUGUAUUGGCCGCUAUAUCGUUACUAUAAGGCCGAGGAAGUAUCCCACCCUAGCGUAUUUUUUUUUAUCGUAAGUUACUGUCGUAAACCUAGUGAGUAAUAAAGAUGUUUUAUAUUAUUUUCUAUA